RNAcentral lists this ribosomal RNA (253 nucleotides) under uncultured bacterium. RNAcentral describes it as "partial 16S ribosomal RNA". It matches the Rfam family "Bacterial small subunit ribosomal RNA", at positions 524 to 776 of the family's 1533-position model. The record is from RNAcentral.
UACAUAGGGGGCAAGCGUUGUUCGGAAUUACUGGGCGUAAAGGGCGCGUAGGCGGCCUGUUAAGUCGUACGUGAAAUCCCUAGGCUCAACCUAGGAACUGCGUCCGAUACUGGCAGGCUUGAAUCCGGGAGAGGGAUGCGGAAUUCCAGGUGUAGCGGUGAAAUGCGUAGAUAUCUGGAGGAACACCGGUGGCGAAGGCGGCAUCCUGGACCGGCAUUGACGCUGAGGCGCGAAAGCGUGGGGAGCGAACAGG